UUACGCUGUUAUCCCUAAGGUAAUUUAGUCUUAUAAUCAACAUAAAUGGAUCAAAUACAUAUAAAUAAAUAUAAAAUAAAUAAAAAGAGUUAAUUAAAUCUUUCCAUCACCCCAACAAAAUAAAUUUUUACAUUAGAAAUUCUCAUACAAAAAAAAUAAAAAUAUAUAAAACUCUAUAGGGUCUUCUCGUCCCAAAAAAACAUUUAGGCAUUUUAACCUAAAAUUUAAGUUCAAAAAAAAAAUAAAGACAGUUAACACCUCGUCAAACCAUUCAUUCCAGCCUACAAUUAAAAGACUAAUGAUUAUGCUACCUUUGCACGGUCAAAAUACCGCGGCCCUUCAAUAUUCAGUGGGCAGGCCAUACAUCAAAAUAUAUUCAAGAAGAGAUGUUUUUGUUAAACAGGAG
This 406-nucleotide ribosomal RNA is filed under the name Cryptocercus relictus (relict cockroach). Its description in RNAcentral is "partial 16S ribosomal RNA". Lineage: Eukaryota; Metazoa; Arthropoda; Insecta; Blattodea; Cryptocercidae. The record is from RNAcentral.